GAUGAACGCUGGCGGCGUGCUUAACACAUGCGAGUCGAACGGUGAAGCAGGAGCUUGCUCUUGUGGAUCAGUGGCGAACGGGUGAGUAACACGUGAGCAACCUGCCCCUGACUCUGGGAUAAGCGCUGGAGACGGCGUCUAAUACUGGAUAUGUGAUGUGACCGCAUGGUCUGCAUCUGGAAAGAAUUUCGGUUGGGGAUGGGCUCGCGGCCUAUCAGCUUGUUGGUGAGGUAAUGGCUCACCAAGGCGUCGACGGGUAGCCGGCCUGAGAGGGUGACCGGCCACACUGGGACUGAGACACGGCCCAGACCCCUACGGGAGGCAGCAGUGGGGAAUAUUGCACAAUGGGCGGAAGCCUGAUGCAGCAACGCCGCGUGAGGGAUGACGGCCUUCGGGUUGUAAACCUCUUUUAGCAGGGAAGAAGCGAAAGUGACGGUACCUGCAGAAAAAGCACCGGCUAACUACGUGCCAGCCGCCGCCGUAA
This 484-nucleotide ribosomal RNA is filed under the name uncultured bacterium. Its description in RNAcentral is "partial 16S ribosomal RNA". It matches the Rfam family "Bacterial small subunit ribosomal RNA", at positions 28 to 523 of the family's 1533-position model. The record is from RNAcentral.